CUUGGUCAUUUAGAGGGAUUUAAAGUCGUAACAAGGUGUUCGUCCGUAGGUGGACCUGCUGAAGGAUCAUUAUUGAAUUUUCAUUCAAUUACGCAUGUGAACCAGCUGAACCACAAACUGUGUACUGUCUUUCGGCUUUAAUGCCUGAGGCUGUAACUGCGUGGGCAGGCCCAAGCACUAACGGACUUUGAGCCGUCAGCCCUAUAAUCAUUGACUGUGACUGAAACAUCUUUAAUCAUUAAAGACAAUUUUUACCAAUGGAUCUCUAUGCUCUC
RNAcentral lists this unclassified non-coding RNA (275 nucleotides) under fungal sp. Its description in RNAcentral is "partial internal transcribed spacer region". Lineage: Eukaryota; Fungi. The record is from RNAcentral.